GGCAGACGGGUGAGUAACGCGUGGAAACGUGCCUUUCACUACGGAAUAGCUUUUGGAAACGAAAGGUAAUACCGUAUACGCCCUCCGGGGGAAAGAUUUAUCGGUGAAAGAUCGGUCCGCGUUAGAUUAGCUAGUUGGUGAGGUAAGAGCUCACCAAGGCGACGAUCUAUAGCUGGUCUGAGAGGAUGAUCAGCCACACUGGGACUGAGACACGGCCCAGACUCCUACGGGAGGCAGCAGCGGGGAAUUUUCCGCAAUGGGCG
Molecule: ribosomal RNA, 263 nt
Filed under: Striatella unipunctata
Lineage: Eukaryota; Bacillariophyta; Striatellaphyceae; Striatellales; Striatellaceae
Description: partial Bacterial small subunit ribosomal RNA
Rfam family: Bacterial small subunit ribosomal RNA
Source: RNAcentral